AUUGAACGCUGGCGGCAUGCCUUACACAUGCAAGUCGAACGGUAACGGGCCUUCGGGUGCCGACGAGUGGCGAACGGGUGAGUAAUACAUCGGAACGUGCCCGACCGUGGGGGAUAACGAGGCGAAAGCUUUGCUAAUACCGCAUACGAUCUACGGAUGAAAGCAGGGGACCGCAAGGCCUUGCGCGGACGGAGCGGCCGAUGGCAGAUUAGGUAGUUGGUGGGAUAAAAGCUUACCAAGCCGACGAUCUGUAGCUGGUCUGAGAGGAUGAUCAGCCACACUGGAACUGAGACACGGCCCAGACUCCUACGGGAGGCAGCAGUGGGGAAUUUUGGACAAUGGGCGCAAGCCUGAUCCAGCCAUGCCGCGUGCAGGAUGAAGGCCUUCGGGUUGUAAACUGCUUUUGUACGGAACGAAAAGCCUUCUUUUAAUACAGGAGGGUCAUGACGGUACCGUAAGAAUAAGCACCGGCUAACUACGUG
This 482-nucleotide ribosomal RNA is filed under the name uncultured bacterium. RNAcentral's name for it is "partial 16S ribosomal RNA". It matches the Rfam family "Bacterial small subunit ribosomal RNA", at positions 30 to 507 of the family's 1533-position model. The record is from RNAcentral.